CCCUUAGAUGUCCUGGGCCGCACACGCGCUACACUGAUGCAUUCAACGAGUAUUUCCUUGGCCGAGAGGCCUGGGCAAUCUUUUAAACCUGCAUCGUGAUAGGGAUAGAUUAUUGCAAUUAUUAAUCUUGAACGAGGAAUUCCUAGUAAACGCAAAUCAUCAAUUUGCAUUGAUUACGUCCCUGCCCUUUGUGCACACCGCCCGUCGCACCUACCGAUUGAAUGGUCCGGUGAAAUCUCGGGAUUGUGGCCAGUUCACUUUAUUGGGAGUUGGCUGCGAGAACUUGCUUAAACCUUAUCAUUUAGAGGAAGGUGAAGUCGUAACA
RNAcentral lists this ribosomal RNA (325 nucleotides) under uncultured eukaryote. RNAcentral describes it as "partial 18S ribosomal RNA". It matches the Rfam family "Eukaryotic small subunit ribosomal RNA", at positions 1470 to 1796 of the family's 1831-position model. The record is from RNAcentral.